Molecule: long non-coding RNA, 735 nt
Filed under: Homo sapiens (human)
Lineage: Eukaryota; Metazoa; Chordata; Mammalia; Primates; Hominidae
Description: HSALNT0334395
Source: RNAcentral
GGAGCCCCAUCCCCAUCCCCGUCCACCUCUGAGUCCUGCAGCACCUGAGCGAUGUAUUUCUGAAGGAGGAGAGGAAAUGGGGGCAAGGUGCUACAGACUGGCCCCAGCCUCUCCCAGGCCCCUUGCCUGCCACCCCCAGCCAUGCGGCUUCUCCUGUGGCCUGCUCUGGCUGGAAUCCACUCUGCUCGCCACCCCCCGUUCCCUGGGUAGGGAUCCCUCACCCGUGCGCAUGGUGGAAAAGAAGAGCAGCCAGAAGAGGCAGAGGAUGGGCGCGGCCACCACCUGGUUCACAGCCCCCGAGUGGAUCUUCUUGUCCAGCUUGGCCGGCAGGUUGUUCUGGUCCUGAGAGUGCUGAAGGGUUGGCCCCCUCCUCCUGCCCGGGCCCCAGGACGGGAUAGUGCCCCGUGCCCCAGCGUGAUCACAGAACUUCAGCUUCCUCCGCUACAACCCCUCAUUCUACUCUCCUCAUCAGGAAUUCUACUAUUGGAAAUCUAGUCAUUUGAAUCAACAAGCAUCUUCUUAAAACCCGUAUCAUUUUUCUCUAACCCUGUCCCUAAACAGAUACGUAUAAAUUAAGGGACAAGUUCUAUUUCCCCAGAGGCUGAGGGAUAGGGAGUUUCUAAUGAGGACAAGGAAGUUAGUUUGGGAACUUGGAGCCUUCAAUAACCAGGGAGGGUUGGUUAAGGAGUUAGGAUGUUAUUAGGGAGGAAAGUAGAGGCUACCAGUGGGGGUGAU